UUCAGAGACCACCCUCACCCUCUCACAGACACCUCCUACUAAGAGGACUCUCUGUUCAUGUCUCAGACUUCCUCACAGAUAUUCUUAGAUCUUCCUUCUUCAGUCAUGCUCAGCUGAAAGAUGGCUACUGGUGAAUCUGCAAUGUGUGACACAGCCAUGUCUAUAGCAGGAAGGGAAGAACAGAGAAUCUUUCAGAACCUUCCAGCAGCAGUCCUUCAUCACUCAACACUAUUUGGAGAAUCAGAUGAUAUACUAUGCUGAAGCAAUCACUGACACAAGGAUCCAAAGGG
This is a long non-coding RNA of Mastomys coucha (southern multimammate mouse), 290 nucleotides long. RefSeq lists it as uncharacterized. NCBI's taxonomy places the organism in Eukaryota, Metazoa, Chordata, Mammalia, Rodentia, Muridae. The record is from RefSeq and is a predicted model, not a curated record. The transcript has 2 exons.